AAAGUGCGAAAUGUAGUGCGAUUUGCAUGAAUCUGUGAGUCAUCUAAUCUUUGAACGCAACUUGCGCCUCGCGAGAGGCAUGUCUGUUUGAGGGCCUGUUCUCUAAAUGUUGGCAUUGACUAACAACUAGUCUCUGCUCAAAGACAGCAGUGUCUAGGCUUCUGCCGCGUGCUAAGCAUUAGCGGCGUGGAGCUCUUUACUACUGGCCUCAAAUCAGGCAAGACUACCCGCUGAACUUAA
Molecule: unclassified non-coding RNA, 240 nt
Filed under: uncultured Rozellomycota
Lineage: Eukaryota; Fungi; Rozellomycota
Description: uncultured Cryptomycota sequence contains ITS1
Rfam family: 5.8S ribosomal RNA (bases 1-97)
Source: RNAcentral